AUGGUAUGUGUUUCCCUAAAGGCUUGUCGUCCGGAUAAACUAUCUGUGGUAAUCACCGGAAACUGGGCCCAAGAAACAACUCAGCUGCAUUUUGCCAUUGGCCCUCCUUGUCAAAAUUGUCCCUUCAACCUUAGCUGUGUAAAGGUUGACUAUAGCCCACAUCCAGGAUUAUCCGGAAAACUAGAGACAUCUCUAAUGUGA
This is a non-coding RNA of Vicia faba (fava bean), 201 nucleotides long. The record is from the annotation of a GenBank genome assembly. NCBI's taxonomy places the organism in Eukaryota, Viridiplantae, Streptophyta, Magnoliopsida, Fabales, Fabaceae.